CUCAAGCAGAGGGCAGCUGGAGAACGCCGCUUCGGAUUGGUUGAUGGGUGGGCGGAUCGCUUCCUUACUGAGCUCGAAGGUGGGGCGUCUCUGUGUUUUGCUGUUUGCUCCUGGGCCGAGGGUAUUUGAAAAUUCCUGCUGGGAAGGGUAUUGGCAUAAAAGGGCACGAGCAAAUACUGUGUAGUCUUACUCAGAAUGUUUUUGCCCUACCUCUCAGCACCUCUGUUUGCCAUUUUUGUUUAUAAUUGUCGACGGUUAUGAAUAUCCUUAAACCGGAUCAGUUCCACCAUGAAGCCAGAUAAAUAUGUAGCAACCCAGUAUAGCAAACGAGAUGUCCCAGAAAACCAAAUGAACGAACUACAUUGUGUUUCAGGGGUCACUCGGUAGCAUUCUUUUGUUAAAAGAAUUUUACUUAAAUAUGUGACUUGACAGGACCUUGUGUGAACGUUGGGGGUUUUGUUGUGUAGAAUGAAGUUACCACUUCAAAGACGGUUAAUAUUCUGAUCAUGGGAUCUCAAAAUCCCCACAACUGAAGAGUGCUAUUUAAAAUUUCUCCCCCACUCCUCAAAAUAAAAAGUAAGAUUUGGUUUUGCCCUUAUAGGGCAUCAGUUUCAUGUACCUUUACAUAAAUGCUUGAGAAGAGAAAAAUAACGGAAGUUUUACAAUACAAUGUUUGGAUGAUCAAAAUAAGUUUGGAGUUGCUUCCCACUUAGAACUUACAAAGUAUUAGAAAUCUGUUUACAGUGCAAUGAAAUUCUGCUGUGAGGAACUGGUUGGUUAUUAGACAAAUAAGCAAAUUUAUUGGCUUUGUUUUCCUCAUCUAUAAAAAGAUUCUGUAUUUGGAUCUCCAAGAGCUCUUCUAGCCCUGAGAUUUUUGUAAUGUAAUUUAUUGUCAACAGAUGACCCAGCACUAAGACACUAGUGUUAAGUAUACAUCUUCCUCUCUUGCCUCUCUUUUAUCUAACUUUCCCCCAGCAACUACAAAAUAAAUAAUCAAGUGAGGCGUAAGAACUUGGGACCAAAUUGGCCAGAAACAAGCUAGAUUGCUGCUUGAAAAAACUUCUUCUUAUGCAUAUUUUUGGCAUGUACAGAUGGCAUUCAGCUUGCUUGAGGAAUGGAUUAUCAUAAAGAAGCCCAGCCUCUGGGAACCAGAGAUGGGCAAAGCAGGGAGACACUUGGAGGUGAAGUGGAGAUAGCCCUGUUUUUGGAGGCAAAUCAAACUAGAUGUACAGCCUGGCCCUGUCAUUUACUGGUUGUGUGACUUUGGACAAGUUAUUUCUGACACUGAGUUUUCUCACUCGUAAGACAAGGGUAAUGAUGACUAUAUUGCCAAAUUUUUGUGAGGAUAGAGAUUAUGUACAUAGUGUGCUCUUCACAUAAUUAUCACUUAGUGUGUGGCUAUUAUUCUUACCAGGGAAGUCAGAGUGCAAAUUGGUGUGCAAAGGCCUUCUCAGAGGUGUCUCGUGACACCUCACUCAAGGAUGUAAAUUUGGUAAGCCCUUCCUUACCCACUAAAGACAUGCAAAGAACCUUUAAAAGUAACCUUUUUAAAUGUUUGUCAAUGAUGAAUGGAUAAAUAAUCAUUCUUUGCUGCUUCUAGCUUCUGGUGACUGCCAGCAUUCCUUGACUUGUGACUUCAUCACUUCAAUCUUCAAGGAAGAUCAGUAUCUUGAAAUCUCUCUCUACUCUGUCUUCACAUUGCCUUUCUCCUCUGUGUGUAGAAUCUUCUCUGCCUCCCUCUUAAGGGAUAGAUGUAAUUGCAUUAUGGGCCUACUCCUAUAAUCCAGGAUAAUCUCCCCGUAUCAAGACAAUGAACUUAAUCAUAGAUGCUCAAUUGAAUCAUAGAUUCUUAACUUAAUCAUGGAUCCUUAACUGAAUCGUUAGUUUCUGUUAAGAAUCUUAGCUGUGAAGACUUUGCCACGUAAGGUAACAUUUACGGGUUCCAGGUUUUAUGACCUGAUAUCUUUGGACACCAUUGUUUAGUUGACUAUAGAGAAUAAGAGAAGAUAAAAGUGAGGACUAGCAGGGACAAGAGAAUGAGAGAGGACUCAAGCACAUCUGCUCAGUUUCUCCUCCAAGUUUGUCAGUCAGGUAAGUCACUUCUUGGGGAAGAAUAAGUGAGAGGUGAGAGGGAGUAGCUAGAAGUGUUCUUGCAUUGUGGCUUUCAAACACUUUUUGACCAUGACUCUUCAUAAGAAAUAUAUUUUACAUUAUCACUCAGGGAACAAAUACAUAACUGAACACACACACACACUUUGAAUUUAAUGUGUAUUUAAACUGAAUUUAAUUUUUUUGAGACAAUAGUUACCCGUAUUUCAUGAAAUGCAUGCUGGUCUUUUAUGUCCCCUCCCCUCCCCCCCACAAAAUGCUAGGAACUCCAUUAAGUUUAUAGCCCACUAAUUGGUCAUGAUCUGAAGUUUGGAAAACAUCACUCCAUAAAAAUCCACACUUGGAAAUAUGAUGCCAGGCAAAUAAGAAUUGUUUUUUUUUUUUUUCCUUAAAACCUUUGUUCCAGGGGCCAGCCCCGUGUCUGAGUGGUUAAGUUCGCAUGCUCUGCUUUGGUGUCCCAGAGUUUCUUCCGUUCAGAUCCUAGAUCCUUUCUCUACCAUUUUCCAUUCUGCUCUGUGUCCCAGAGGAGUACAGGAGGUUAGGAGGCUGACUUUAACAGACUGCAUCAAUGGGCUCUCUUGUCGUCUGGCUUGGAGUUCAGUGAUGUCUGAGAUCAGAAGAUCAGAAAACAGGAGGAGAGUGAGUUCAUGGUCUUCAUUUCUCCAUCUUCCUUCCUGUUGGUUGCCCUAGGCUGCCCAAGUUUGUCCACUGAAGAAUACAGUUCCUGCUGUGUGUGUGUUCAGCCGCAGAGAGAAGAAGCUGCCCAAGAAUGGAAAGGAAGAAAUAUAUCACAUCAUCUGUCUGUCCACAAGCUUUCCUUGGGGCUUAUGAAGAUUUCCUCGGGGCAGUGAUUCUUUUUCACCCCUUUGAAUUCAGAAGGAUGGCACAGACAUCUAAAAAACACCACCACCUCCUUCAUUGGACCACAAGGAAGGCCGUUUUGGAAAAGUAAUGGAAUCCAGUCAACUUAACAUUGUUGAUCUCCAAGGACCGUUGAAAAUUAUAAAACUUUCUGUGGAACUCUGACAUGCCAGAAGCUGCUAGAAAAAGCAGUUUGAUAUUCAGAACCUCAUCAAGAGCUUCUCCUCAUCUUUGGAUAGAGACCAAAAUGAUACUUUCAAUCAGCUGGUCCCUCUUCUCAGGUGUAGAUCACCUAUUACCACUUCACCUGUUUUGAUUCUCUGAUGAGGAAAGUCCCAGGACUUAUCAGCUGGGAUAGGCCUCAUUCACAAGACACCUCUGUAUUUGGAAGAAAGCCUGACAGGUUUCUCCGGAAAAGUGGCCAUCCAUGGAAUGAAUGAAAUGUUCCCUUUCUAUUCCACUAGCAAAAAGACCUCAGGAAGAGUGAUCCUUACCCCACCAUCAAGUCACUUAUGACUGAUUCUUACUUCUGAUUCCACCAAGAUUAAACCAGAGACUUACAGAGGAGCUGGCAAACCUUUUCUGUAAGUAGCCAUUAGUAAAUACAAUAGGCUUUGUGGGUCAUACCAUGUGUUAGUUUGCUAGGGCAGUUGUGCCAAAAUCUGCAUGGCUUAAACAAUGGAAAUUUGUUGUCUCCCAAUUCUGGAGGCUAGAAUUCUGAGAUCAAGGUGGGUCAAUUCCUUCUGAGAGCUACAAGACUUUCUUCCAUGCCUUUCUUCUAGCUUCUAGUGGUUUGCUGGCAAUCUGGCAUUCCUUGGCUGAUUCACCCCAUCUCUGCUUUCAUGUCCAUGUGGCAUUCUCCCUGGGUGCAUGUCUGUGUCCAAAUUAGUCCAAACUGAUUACAUUUGCAAUGAUCCUGUUUCUCCAAAUAAGUUUACCUUCUGAGGUGCUAGGGGUUAGAACUUCAACAUAUGGAUUUGCGGGGAAGGGGAAGACAUAGUCCAACCUAUAACAUAUCUGUUUCUCCAACUACUCAGUUCAGCCCUUGUAGUGCAAAAGCAGUCAUAGAAAAUACGUAAACCGGUGGACAUGGCUGUGUCACAGUAAAGCUUUACCUGGGAAACCAGGUGGCAGGCCUGCAGGCCGUAGUUUGCAGAUGCCAGCCUUAGAGUGUCUCUGAUCCUUUGUGAAUAUGAAAGAAAACAGGAAAAGAUUUGGCACUUGGCAAAAAAGAAAAGAAAAACUUUGCAAGUUUUGGGAAUACCUACUUCACAUAUUGUAUUCUAGUCACAAUGUUUUACAUUUAGCUUUAAUAUGUCUCAUGUUUACGUUCAGAUAUAAUCUGAGUUAGUAUACAAAGCUUCAGCUAAGCAAAUUGAUAUAAGUUGUAUAACGGCGACUCUAAGUGAUCUUCAUACUCCUUGUCUUUGGGCCAUUACUAAAUUCUAGAAUGACGGAGAAAUAGACUUUUCCGUUUAACAUUAUGCUGUGUGCUUUGAUUUUUAGUAUGAAUGUGUCCAAAACAUUAAUAAUUAUUAAUGAUUUUUAAUCCCUUUAGAAAUAUAUGUGUAUUUAUCCCCAUGAAUAUAUAUGUGUAUUCCUUUCCAUAUAACUAAUAUUUCUGGAGUGCCUACAGACACUGUAGUAGGCUGUGUACAACGAGUCCUGGACAAGACAGAAACAUUAUCUCUAGGGAUUUACUCUGUCCUGGAGGAUGCAUAUAAAGGAAAGAGAUAAUAUAGUAACAUAUAUUCAAACACCAUCCAGAGAGUGCCAUCUAUACAUGCCAUGCAGGGGGAAUUGCUUUGUUCUGCUCGAGUCCAUAUACAUGCAUAUAUAUGUGAAUCUUGCGUCUUCACUUAUGGAACCAAAUUAGAGAGUUCUGUACAGGAUCAUAGAAGUCAAAGGGCUGAAUAAAGCUUCCACAGAAAGCUUGAAAGUUGACUAUGCAGUAAAGAAAAGGUAUCAAUCAGGCUCAUACUAUAUAUUUUGUGACAGUAGCAGAGAUCAUGCUCCCACUUAUAUUAAAACAUAGACUGGGCUUAUUAACGUCCUUCUAUAGUAAAAGGCUAGGCCUCUGGAAAACCCUGGAACUCUUCCUCCACUUGGUUGUGAAGGUAGACAGAGUCAGAGGCCAGCAUCUAGUUUAAAUUUUGAGGGAACAGGUGUACAAGUAGUGAGUGGUCUUAUUGAGGAUGAAAUGAACCCUCUCACAGGUAUCGGUAAUAGACGUUGGGGGCUCAUUCAUCUUCAGCAGAGGUGCCCCACGAAAUCGCUUACGUGGAGUGCCCCAAAAUUGGCCUUGUAUUUAGGAUCUGAAAGAAAAUACCCACUGGAGUGUACCAAUUAUAAAAUAGGUCAAAUUUAGGGGCCAGAAAAGUGGACCAGAUGCCUUUAAUCAGGUUUGUUACCUAAAAGGUUGUCAGUUCAGCCAGAGAUUGUUCAGAGAAAAUAUCAGCUAUAAUGACGUAUUUAUAUAUAUAUAAAGUACUAUAUGACCUGAAAUGUCAGGUGUAUGUGGCUUUAAUAAUUUUAACCAUUUAGGCCCAAAGAAAACUUCUAAAAGUCAUAAUUAAAAUGCAGUUGUUCUCUUUAUAAUUAUGGAAACACCACCACAUUCUGACUACUACACUGGUGACCUUCAAUAAUACAAGCCGAAAUCUGCCUUGACGCAUCCUGUGGAUUUCAUAACUGCAUGUAAUAGACUUUGCAUUGCUUGAAAUGAGAUUUGAGCUCCAGGAAUAAAACUGGAAUUUAUUCUACAAAUAAAACAGUAAAGCAUUCCUAAAUUUUCUUUUAAUCUGGAAAUACUUUUAAUCUCUUGGAUUCCUUGGUCUAUAGUUUAGAAGCAACUGUCCUCUCCUCAGAAUCUUGUACACAUUUGUUUGGAUAUGAGGCAGUUUCUCUCUUUUCCUUCUAACUUUCACUAAAAUAAAGAGAAGGGCCUUUCACCUUCCCACAGAACUAGAAAAAAAGGAGGGAACGAAAUGGGAUUUUCUUCUCAAUACUUUGCAAACUUUAACCAAGAAAUGCAGCACCACAACACGUCAAUGCAGGAUAAUGAUAAUCUUAAUAAUGGUGGUGACGAUGAUGAUCAUGAAUUAGACAAUAUAUUUCUCUUCUUAUUCGAAGUGUGAAAACUGAAGCAAAAUGAUGAAGUGCCUUUCCCAAGAUCAGUGGCUCCACAAUUAGAACUCGGGCUUUUCCUUCCUUCACACCUCUUCUGCGGAGGAGAACAAAUAUCGCUAAUGUUCGUCCUCACCAGGAGAAACCCACACUGGCCCAUUCAAUGGCCAAUUAGAAUAAAUUGUGAAUUAGGACAAAUAUGACAAGUAAUACAAAAAUCAAAUGCUCGCUAAAGAAAAGGAACAAAAAACCUGAAUAAAUAAGCUUAACGGUCCAUUGUUUGUGGGGAAAAUGAUGAAAUUAUCAUCAAAAUAUUCUAUGAAUUGAGAAUGAAGAUAAAUUUUUAUGUGGAAAGAUUUUACAAAAAAAAAAAAAAAGCUACCUAGAAAAG
Equus caballus (horse) is the source of this 6487-nucleotide non-coding RNA. The record is from RefSeq and is a predicted model, not a curated record. Lineage: Eukaryota; Metazoa; Chordata; Mammalia; Perissodactyla; Equidae.